GGUCAAGGUCGAGAGUUGGUCUGUUGACCCGGGGCCCACAUGUCAGCGUGUGGGGGUAGGUCGGGGUUGAGUGAGAAAAGUCCAGGGAGGGGGUUUUCGGGAUAAUGUUGGAUUUAGAUUUAGAAAAAUAGAUUUAAAUUCCUAUUUUCGUAUUUAAUUCAUUAUAAUUUAUAGAAUUUUCCAAAUUUAGUGAAACCAAUUUUAUUAGGUGUAUUUUAUUUUCCUUUAUCCAUUAAAAAUUAUUAAACCCUAGGAUAAACUAAUAAAAGUUUAAGUAUUUAUUAAUGCCUUUGAUUAAGGUAUUUAAAUAAGUACUUAAUCUUUAUGAAAUGAAUAAAAUUCUAAAUAAUGUUUUAUUAUUCACAAAUAUUCAUUAAUCCAUAGGAUUUAAGUUUUUCAGAUUAGAAA
Molecule: long non-coding RNA, 408 nt
Filed under: Setaria viridis
Lineage: Eukaryota; Viridiplantae; Streptophyta; Magnoliopsida; Poales; Poaceae
Description: long non-coding RNA (SVIR_LNC009472)
Source: RNAcentral